Long non-coding RNA from Pezoporus flaviventris, 893 nucleotides. RefSeq lists it as uncharacterized. Lineage: Eukaryota; Metazoa; Chordata; Aves; Psittaciformes; Psittacidae. The record is from RefSeq and is a predicted model, not a curated record. The transcript has 4 exons.
GAUGCAGUAGCUGAUGCACCACGGGGAGUGCCCUGCAUGCAGAAGCCGAUUUAUCUGCCCUGCAUGUCUGGCUUAACUACUCGAUCCUGUCCGCCUUUGCAGCCAAACCACAGGACAGACCACUGAGAGAACAAGACAGAAUAGUCUCCUUUGCAAAUCAUCCUGUUGCUGUCCGAGGCAAAAAGCGGACAGAACCAACAGACAGAACAACUUGUCAUGUUUUCCCACACCUUAUUUUGAAGCAGCAUUUGUAAACAGCUUAUAGAAGUUAAAUGAAGCCUUAAUCUUUGAAAGUUCAAACACAACAUUCAGAUUAGCCUGAACUGCAUGAAGUUUUGAGUCACUCCUCACCCAGAGCAUGGGUUAAAUCUGUAAACCGCAAUGCUGGGAUUUCAAGAAAUGCAGGUCCACAACAGAUUCCCCAAUAAAUGCUGAGGACAGCACAGAAGUGGAAAGCUUUUAUCACAGGAGUCAGCAACAAGGAGCAGAUGCAGGGGAAAGCAGAAGUGAAGCACAGCACAAGCAUACAGGGAUACUGCGAUAACUACCUGAGUGCCUUGGAAGUAUCCAGCAACUGCAGCUCCAGUAAAUUCAGGAAGCAAAUUCGCCUCCAGAGAACUGGAAAAGUAGACCUCCUUUUUUUACUGUCUCAAAGGGAUAAAAGAAAAGAAUGCUUACUGGUAAAGACUGUACCAAUCACUUUCAUAAAUGCAUCUCCUCUAACAUCACAUGCACAUCCUCUCUUUUUUUCAGCUUUCUUAAAGGUUUAGUUUCAGUUUAGAAGCAUUGUACCAAAUCUUUUCUUCUUCCACUUACUAAAGUGAUUGAAUAGCACAUCUUUCUUUUAACUGCCUCCAUAAUAUUUUAGCCCUGCCUAACCUAUGAAAUAACAU